Molecule: ribosomal RNA, 253 nt
Filed under: uncultured bacterium
Lineage: Bacteria
Description: partial 16S ribosomal RNA
Rfam family: Bacterial small subunit ribosomal RNA
Source: RNAcentral
UACGUAGGGGGCAAGCGUUGUCCGGAUUUAUUGGGCGUAAAGAGCGUGUAGGCGGUUUGGUAGGUCCGCUGUGAAAACUCGAGGCUCAACCUCGAGACGCCGGUGGAAACCAUCAGACUAGAGUCCGGAAGAGGAGAGUGGAAUUCCUGGUGUAGCAGUGAAAUGCGCAGAUAUCAGGAAGAACACCCGUGGCUAAGGCGGCUCUCUAGUACGGUACUGACGCUGAGACGCGAAAGCGUGGGGAGCAAACAGG